AGAGAUUCUAUUUUUUUUGCGAAAUUAUCAAUGGGUAACAUAGAGAGCGUAGCAAAAGCUGCACUUGAGAAAUUGAAGGAGAUGAAUAUGGUGGAAAACGCAAAGGAGAUCGUCAAAAGAAAAACGCCGUUUGUAUCGGAAUAUGCGCGGAUCUUAUUUGAUGGGUUACUGGAAAAUCUGAAGCAGAUUGUCGUGAAAACGAUGCCGUUCGGGCGAACUUCAUCCGACUCUCUGCCGGUGCUGCAGCGGCGGCGGAAAUGGGAAGACGAUGAAAGCUCCGGGAAGGAAUAAUGUAAGGAUACUGGAAAAUGCGAAGGAGAUUGUCGUGAAAACGACGCCGUUUGUACGAACCUCAUCGGACUGGUUACUGGAAAAAGCUCCUGCACGGAUAUCUACUUCGAUAAAUUCGAUCCGUAUAGCUCCAAUAUAUUACACCAGUCCAAUCGGAUUUCUGCUGAUUUUGUUCCUCUGCCGGUGCUGCAGCGGCGGCGGAAAUGGGAAGACGAUGAAAGCUCCGGGAAGGAAUAAUGUAAGGAUACUGGAAAAUGCGAAGGAGAUUGUCGUGAAAACGACGCCGUUUGUACGAACCUCAUCGGACUGGUUACUGGAAAAAGCUCCUGCACUGAUAUCUACCUCGAUAAAUUCGAUCCGUACAGCUCCAAUAAAUUACACCAUUCCAAUCGGAGUUCUGCUGAUUUUGUUCC
Molecule: long non-coding RNA, 704 nt
Filed under: Solanum tuberosum (potato)
Lineage: Eukaryota; Viridiplantae; Streptophyta; Magnoliopsida; Solanales; Solanaceae
Description: long non-coding RNA (STUB_LNC005314)
Source: RNAcentral